GUUAGAUGCGAUGGGGGGACGGAUCGCGGAAGGUUGUCCGGGUGUUGGACGUCCCGGUCGCUGCAUUGGAGAAGGCGCUUAGGCAAAUCCGGGCGCAGGAUUCAAGGGUGUGGCGCGAGCGACUUCGGUCGCGAAGCAAUUGGAAGUGGUUCCAAGAAAAGCCUCUAAGCUUCAGUCUAACGAUGACCGUACCGCAAACCGACACAGGUGGGCGAGAUGAGUAUUCUAAGGCGCUUGAGAGAACUCGGGAGAAGGAACUCGGCAAAUUGGUACCGUAACUUCGGGAUAAGGUACGCCCUUGUAGCUUGACUGGCCUGCGCCAGGAGGGUGAAGGGGUUGCAAUAAACUGGUGGCUGCGACUGUUUAAUAAAAACACAGCACUCUGCAAACACGAAAGUGGACGUAUAGGGUGUGACGCCUGCCCGGUGCCGGAAGAUUAAAUGAUGGGGUGCAAGCUCUUGAUUGAAGUCCCGGUAAACGGCGGCCGUAACUAUAACGGUCCUAAGGUAGCGAAAUUCCUUGUCGGGUAAGUUCCGACCUGCACGAAUGGCGUAACGAUGGCCACACUGUCUCCUCCCGAGACUCAGCGAAGUUGAAGUGUUUGUGAUGAUGCAAUCUACCCGCGGCUAGACGGAAAGACCCCAUGAACCUUUACUGUAGCUUUGCAUUGGACUUUGAACCGAUCUGUGUAGGAUAGGUGGGAGGCUAUGAAACCGGAACGCUAGUUUCGGUGGAGCCGUCCUUGAAAUACCACCCUGGUUUGUUUGAGGUUCUAACCUUGGUCCGUGAUCCGGAUCGGGGACAGUGCAUGGUAGGCAGUUUGACUGGGGCGGUCUCCUCCCAAAGGGUAACGGAGGAGUACGAAGGUACGCUAGGUACGGUCGGAAAUCGUGCUGAUAGUGCAAUGGCAUAAGCGUGCUUAACUGCGAGACCGACAAGUCGAGCAGGUGCGAAAGCAGGUCAUAGUGAUCCGGUGGUUCUGUAUGGAAGGGCCAUCGCUCAACGGAUAAAAGGUACUCUGGGGAUAACAGGCUGAUACCGCCCAAGAGUUCAUAUCGACGGCGGUGUUUGGCACCUCGAUGUCGGCUCAUCUCAUCCUGGGGCUGUAGCCGGUCCCAAGGGUAUGGCUGUUCGCCAUUUAAAGAGGUACGUGAGCUGGGUUUAAAACGUCGUGAGACAGUUUGGUCCCUAUCUGCCGUGGGCGUUGGAUAUUUGAAGGGGGCUGCUCCUAGUACGAGAGGACCGGAGUGGACGAACCUCUGGUGUACCGGUUGUGACGCCAGUCGCAUCGCCGGGUAGCUAUGUUCGGAAGAGAUAACCGCUGAAAGCAUCUAAGCGGGAAACUCGCCUUAAGAUGAGAUAUCCCUGGAGGCUUGACCUCCUUGAAGGGUCGUUCGAGACCAGGACGUUGAUAGGUCGGGUGUGUAAGCGCAGUAAUGCGUUCAGCUAACCGAUACUAAUUGCCCGUAAGGCUUGAUCCU
This 1481-nucleotide ribosomal RNA is filed under the name Burkholderia multivorans. RNAcentral describes it as "partial 23S ribosomal RNA". It matches the Rfam family "Bacterial large subunit ribosomal RNA", at positions 1449 to 2925 of the family's 2925-position model. Lineage: Bacteria; Pseudomonadati; Pseudomonadota; Betaproteobacteria; Burkholderiales; Burkholderiaceae. The record is from RNAcentral.